AUUGAACGCUGGCGGCAUGCUUUACACAUGCAAGUCGAACGGUAACAGGUUAAGCUGACGAGUGGCGAACGGGUGAGUAAUGCAUCGGAACGUGCCCGGUCGUGGGGGAUAACGCAGCGAAAGCUGCGCUAAUACCGCAUACGAUCUGAGGAUGAAAGCGGGGGACCGUAAGGCCUCGCGCGAUCGGAGCGGACGAUGUCAGAUUAGGUAGUUGGUGAGGUAAAGGCUCACCAAGCCAACGACCUGUAGCUGGUCUGAGAGGACGACCAGCCACACUGGGACUGAGACACGGCCCAGACUCCUACGGGAGGCAGCAGUGGGGAAUUUUGGACAAUGGGCGAAAGCCUGAUCCAGCAAUGCCGCGUGCAGGAAGAAGGCCUUCGGGUUGUAAACUGCUUUUGUACGGAACGAAAAGGUUUGGCCUAGUAAGCUGAGCUCAUGACGGUACCGUAAGAAUAAGCACCGGCUAACUACGUGCCAGCCGCCGCCGUAA
Molecule: ribosomal RNA, 493 nt
Filed under: uncultured bacterium
Lineage: Bacteria
Description: partial 16S ribosomal RNA
Rfam family: Bacterial small subunit ribosomal RNA
Source: RNAcentral